This 80-nucleotide transfer RNA is filed under the name Candidatus Scatoplasma merdavium. RNAcentral describes it as "tRNA-Leu". It matches the Rfam family "tRNA". Rfam says of the family: Transfer RNA (tRNA) molecules are approximately 80 nucleotides in length. The record is from RNAcentral. Lineage: Bacteria; Bacillati; Bacillota; Bacilli; Caryophanales.
GAAGCUGUGGCGGAACUGGUAGACGCGCAAGAUUCAGAAUCUUGUGGGAAACCAUAGGGGUUCAAUUCCCCUCAGCUUCA